RNAcentral lists this ribosomal RNA (227 nucleotides) under uncultured bacterium. RNAcentral's name for it is "partial 16S ribosomal RNA". It matches the Rfam family "Bacterial small subunit ribosomal RNA", at positions 383 to 607 of the family's 1533-position model. The record is from RNAcentral.
CUGAACCAGCCAAGUAGCGUGAAGGAUGACUGCCCUAUGGGUUGUAAACUUCUUUUAUAAAGGAAUAAAGUCGGGUAUGCAUACCCGUUUGCAUGUACUUUAUGAAUAAGGAUCGGCUAACUCCGUGCCAGCAGCCGCGGUAAAACGGAGGAUCCGAGCGUUAUCCGGAUUUAUUGGGUUUAAAGGGAGCGUAGAUGGAUGUUUAAGUCAGUUGUGAAAGUUUGCGG